This 468-nucleotide ribosomal RNA is filed under the name uncultured bacterium. RNAcentral describes it as "partial 16S ribosomal RNA". It matches the Rfam family "Bacterial small subunit ribosomal RNA", at positions 28 to 507 of the family's 1533-position model. The record is from RNAcentral.
GACGAACGCUGGCGGCGUGCUUAACACAUGCAAGUCGAACGGAAAGGCCCUGCUUUUGUGGGGUGCUCGAGUGGCGAACGGGUGAGUAACACGUGAGUAACCUGCCCUUGACUUUGGGAUAACUUCAGGAAACUGGGGCUAAUACCGUAUAGGAGCUCCUGCUGCAUGGUGGGGGUUGGAACGUUUCGGCGGUUGGGGAUGGACUCGCGGCUUACCAGCUUGUUGGUGGGGUAGUGGCUUACCAAGGCUUUGACGGGUAGCCGGCCUGAGAGGGUGACCGGCCACAUUGGGACUGCGAUACGGCGCAGACUCCUACGGUAGGCAGCAGUGGGGAAUAUUGCACAAUGGGCGGAAGCCUGAUGCAGCAACGCCGCGUGCGGGAUGACGGCCUUCGGGUUGUAAACCGCUUUCGCCUGUGACGAAGCGUGAGUGACGGUAAUGGGUAAAGAAGCACCGGCUAACUACGUG